CUUCCGUAGGUGAACCUGCGGAAGGAUCAUUACCGAGUGAGGGCCCUCUGGGUCCAACCUCCCACCCGUGUCUAUCGUACCUUGUUGCUUCGGCGGGCCCGCCGUUUCGACGGCCGCCGGGGAGGCCUUGCGCCCCCGGGCCCGCGCCCGCCGAAGACCCCAACAUGAACGCUGUUCUGAAAGUAUGCAGUCUGAGUUGAUUAUCGUAAUCAGUUAAAACUUUCAACAACGGAUCUCUUGGUUCCGGCAUCGAUGAAGAACGCAGCGAAAUGCGAUAAGUAAUGUGAAUUGCAGAAUUCAGUGAAUCAUCGAGUCUUUGAACGCACAUUGCGCCCCCUGGUAUUCCGGGGGGCAUGCCUGUCCGAGCGUCAUUGCUGCCCUCAAGCACGGCUUGUGUGUUGGGCCCCCGUCCCCCUCUCCCGGGGGACGGGCCCGAAAGGCAGCGGCGGCACCGCGUCCGGUCCUCGAGCGUAUGGGGCUUUGUCACCUGCUCUGUAGGCCCGGCCGGCGCCAGCCGACACCCAACUUUAUUUUUCUAAGGUUGACCUCGGAUCAGGUAGGGAUACCCGCUGAACUUAAGCAUAUCAAUAAGCGGAGGAA
Molecule: ribosomal RNA, 600 nt
Filed under: Aspergillus fumigatus
Lineage: Eukaryota; Fungi; Ascomycota; Eurotiomycetes; Eurotiales; Aspergillaceae
Also listed under: 2 other names
Description: eukaryotic LSU rRNA
Rfam family: 5.8S ribosomal RNA (bases 218-371)
Source: RNAcentral